GGCAGGCGCAGCAGAGCGACCAGUGAAGGGAAAGUUCAAUAGCGGCAGUUACAGGAACUCCAUCGGGGGCGGUAGCAGUUACGGGAAGUUCAAAUGGAGCAACACGAUUCUCAACCACAACAACAUCACUUUCAACCUGUCGAAGAACAGAAAGGCGUCGCUGAACAGCUAGAAGCAAAGAGUUGAUGCGGUGACUCUCGGUAGCAGCAAGAGCACGAGCCUCCUCUCCAUGAAGGAUGAGAUUUUCAGACCAAGCAGCCUGUUGGUGCACCAACUCACGACCAAGCUCCUCCAAAACAGAAAGUAUAGACAUGAUGAAUUCGCAGAAAUAACUGAAGAAAAGAAGGAACAAAGUAUUUAUAGAUCGAAGGAGAAGGAGGGAAUACUGAUGAUACCCCUAGUCCAUCAGCCCAGGCCCAUUCGAGAAAUCAGGACUGAUAGGCCCAGUAAAGCGAAUAAGGGGGGAAACCCAAGCUGUCCGACGGGUUUUAGUCCGGGCGGGUCGACCGGGCCAGACAGUUACAUCCCAAAUAAUCGCAUCCCAAACUUAUCGGAUCCGUCAGGUCGGAUCUAGGUCCAAGAACAUAAGACCCGAACUAGUAGAAAACUGUAUAAAUACCCCUAGGGUUGAAGUGUAAAGGGGGGGGGGAAUAUAUUUCAUACUUGUAAGAUUGUUGUAUACACUAUACUAAUACCAUCAGAAACAAACAACUAUGAGAUCGCAAGAAGACAGAAUGUGAAUCUUGAAAUCGCAAGAAUCUGAUCGUUGGAAUGACACUCGCAAGAAUCUUGAAAUCGCAAGAAGACGGAAGUCUGAAAUCAAAACAGAUCAGGAUUUCACAAGUCUCAAAUCUCCAAGUCACUAGUCGGCUAGAAAAGAAAGAAAUGCAACUACCAAGUUGCAAAACUCAAAUCGCAAAAAGCAAGUCGGUCAAGAAAAAAAUCGCAAAACGCAAAUCUCCAGAUCGCACUUGAAGUAAGAUCGCAAAUCGGAAGUCUUGAAGUCGUCGAUUUGUUGGGCGUGCUUCACAGAUCGAGCUUGUCGGAUCGGUUUAUUGGACGGAUUUC
This 1068-nucleotide long non-coding RNA is filed under the name Zostera marina. Its description in RNAcentral is "long non-coding RNA (ZMAR_LNC001594)". The record is from RNAcentral. Lineage: Eukaryota; Viridiplantae; Streptophyta; Magnoliopsida; Alismatales; Zosteraceae.